RNAcentral lists this ribosomal RNA (452 nucleotides) under uncultured bacterium. Its description in RNAcentral is "bacterial SSU rRNA". It matches the Rfam family "Bacterial small subunit ribosomal RNA", at positions 29 to 511 of the family's 1533-position model. The record is from RNAcentral.
ACGAACGCUGGCGGCAUGCUUAACACAUACAAGUCGAACGUGAUCCUCGGGGUUUCGGCUCUGGGGUGAAAGUGGCGGACGGGUGAGUAACGCGUGGGAACCUGCCCAGUGGUAGGGGAUAACCGCGGGAAACUGCGGCUAAUACCCUAUGUGCCUUGCGGGGCAAAGAUUUAUCGCCAUUGGAGGGGCCCGCGUCGGAUUAGGUAGUUGGUGGGGUAACGGCCUACCAAGCCUGCGAUCCGUAGCUGGUCUGAGAGGAUGAUCAGCCACACUGGGACUGAGAUACGGCCCAGACUCCUACGGGAGGCAGCAGUGGGGAAUAUUGGACAAUGGGGGCAACCCUGAUCCAGCAAUGCCGCGUGAGUGAAGAAGGCCUUAGGGUUGUAAAGCUCUUUCGCACGCGACGAUGAUGACGGUAGCGUGAGAAGAAGCCCCGGCUAACUCCGUGCCAG